Molecule: ribosomal RNA, 505 nt
Filed under: uncultured bacterium
Lineage: Bacteria
Description: partial 16S ribosomal RNA
Rfam family: Bacterial small subunit ribosomal RNA
Source: RNAcentral
GACGAACGCUGGCGGCGUGCCUAAUACAUGCAAGUAGAACGCACAGUUUAUACCGUAGCUUGCUACACCAUAGACUGUGAGUUGCGAACGGGUGAGUAACGCGUAGGUAACCUGCCUGGUAGCGGGGGAUAACUAUUGGAAACGAUAGCUAAUACCGCAUAAUAUUAAUUAUUGCAUGAUAAUUAAUUGAAAGGUGCAAUUGCACCACUACCAGAUGGACCUGCGUUGUAUUAGCUAGUAGGUGAGGUAACGGCUCACCUAGGCGACGAUACAUAGCCGACCUGAGAGGGUGAUCGGCCACACUGGGACUGAGACACGGCCCAGACGCCUACGGGAGGCAGCAGUAGGGAAUCUUCGGCAAUGGACGAAAGUCUGACCGAGCAACGCCGCGUGAGUGAAGAAGGUUUUCGGAUCGUAAAGCUCUGUUGUAAGAGAAGAACGGGUGUGAGAGUGGAAAGUUCACACUGUGACGGUAUCUUACCAGAAAGGGACGGCUAACUACGUG